This 235-nucleotide small nuclear RNA is filed under the name Erinaceus europaeus (western European hedgehog). RNAcentral describes it as "7SK RNA". It matches the Rfam family "7SK RNA". From Rfam's summary of the family: 7SK was discovered as an abundant small nuclear RNA in the mid-70s but a possible function has only recently been suggested. Two independent studies have found that 7SK RNA binds the CDK9/cyclin T complex (known as elongation factor P-TEFb). P-TEFb activates transcription by phosphorylating the C-terminal domain of RNA polymerase II. Lineage: Eukaryota; Metazoa; Chordata; Mammalia; Eulipotyphla; Erinaceidae. The record is from Rfam by way of RNAcentral.
GGAAUGACUAGAAACCAGUCUCGUUUUACAAUCUUCCCAUUAUGCUUCAGAAAUAUAUAUCACUCAGAUAUAGGACGGCCUUCCCCGAAUAGAGACAGACUGGUCUUCCGUAGAAGGUGUAUGAGUAGCUGCGCUCCCCUGCUAGAACCUCCAAACAAGCUCUUAAGUCCCUGGUCCCCACCUGUAGGGGAAAAGCUUCAUGAGUGGUGAAGCAGGGCUGUAGGUAUCUCUCUGU